Molecule: ribosomal RNA, 344 nt
Filed under: Acanthamoeba lenticulata
Lineage: Eukaryota; Discosea; Longamoebia; Acanthamoebidae
Description: SSU rRNA
Rfam family: Eukaryotic small subunit ribosomal RNA
Source: RNAcentral
UACAUUAGCAUGGGAUAAUGGAAUAGGACCCUGACCUCCUAUUUUCAGUUGGUUUUGUUUACAGCGAGGUUAUAUCAGGGUAAUGAUUAAUAGGGAUAGUUGGGGGCAUUAAUAUUUAAUUGUCAGAGGUGAAAUUCUUGGAUUUAUGAAAGAUUAACUUCUGCGAAAGCGUUUGCCAAGGAUGUUUUCAUUAAUCAAGAACGAAAGUUAGGGGAUCGAAGACGAUCAGAUACCGUCGUAGUCUUAACCAUAAACGAUGCCGACCAGCGAUUAGGAGACGUUGAAUACAAAACACCGCUGUUAAUCCUUUCGGGGGUUAAUAGUUGGUGAAUGACUCCCUAGCG